Molecule: long non-coding RNA, 603 nt
Organism: Dalotia coriaria
Lineage: Eukaryota; Metazoa; Arthropoda; Insecta; Coleoptera; Staphylinidae
Exons: 2
Source: RefSeq, a predicted model, not a curated record
GCUUCGGCUCUCGCUGCACGACGGGCCAAUAGUCGUGCUUCAGCCUAAAAUAAUAAAAAAAUUAUAAAUUUUAUAAAGUUUUUUAUAAAUUAACGUUUCAGAUGCAAAUGUUAAUUCAUCAUUCAAUACCGCGGGAGCAACGCAACGAAACAAUUACUUAAACAAAAAUAAAACCAAAGGAGACUUCCUUCCGUCGAUAAUACACGCGCGUGCUUUGCGUCCCCUUAUUUCUCUUGUGUAUCAUGUGUCGCAAAUCAGGAAGCUCGAAUGAUGCCACUGCCAGUUGACAAAUCGUUGGUUAAAAAUAAGCAAAUGUCGAACGCGCCCCUCGAUUCGAAUGUAUCUAAUCGUUUUUUCACAUCCGGGUGGAUGCGCUGUCAAGUUUUAAAGAUUAUACAGUUUAUUCUUGAUUUAUAAUCCCUACUAAUAUUAUAAAUGCGAAAGUCCUGAUGUUUGUUACACUUUCACGCAAAAACUACUUAACCGAUCAUCAUGAAAAUUUGUACACAUAUUCUUAGUGGUCCCCGAAUGGUUAUAGGCUACUUUUUAUUUAAUAAAAAAAAAUAUUUUUGAAAUAAAAUAAAGAAAUUGUUUAGCCAAUAA